UACCCACCGUCUUUGUGUUGGGUGUUACUGUACUAUCUCCUCUCCCUUUCUCUCUCUCUGUGGUAAAACAGUACCGAAGAUUGUUUAUUGCUUUAAUUAUUUUUGUGUACCAUACCAUACCAUCCCAUACUACCCCAUUUUCCAUAGAGAAAAAACUCUCAUCACCACCUCCGUCACCCACAUGUCUUCAUUGCCGUGUACUUGCUGACGGGGCAGCUGAUCUGCUUCUGCUAUGCCGGAUUUUAAUUUAAUUAGUUCCCGGGCA
Molecule: unclassified non-coding RNA, 265 nt
Filed under: Hevea brasiliensis (rubber tree)
Lineage: Eukaryota; Viridiplantae; Streptophyta; Magnoliopsida; Malpighiales; Euphorbiaceae
Source: RNAcentral